GUAGAAUUUCAAACAAUAACACUGGAACACCUGGUUAACACGUUAGAUGAUAUGUACAGUUGUAAAUUGUGGUUUUAAUAGUUGCUCACUGGGGGACUUAAAAGGGUCUCAUUGUUCUGUUUGGCAGAUAUUAAAAAAAAAAUCAGGGACUACUUGGGAUUUAAAAGCCACGCACGUGAUUCCAAUGCCACUCAGCUCAUGAAAUUUAAUCACUGGACCCCACUGGUGGCAGUUUCUACAGGGGAGACCCAUGGCCACAUGGUGGGGUUUUCAAGUUCUCCAAAGUCAUCGUCCAGCUUCAAGUCUAAAGAAAUCCAUUCAUUUCUUAUUGCUAAGAAAACAGGGAAGAUUUUUACAUCUAAACACGAAGGUCCUGUGUGCUGGGCCUCAUCACCCGGAGAGAGAGGCUGCGCCCGGCUUCCCAGUCCCUGGCAUCCUGCAGGCUGCAGGCAGUGAGGUUCAGGAACAGGUUCUGACUUCCUGGCAUUUCUUCUGGAAACUUCUUGGGACCCUCCUGUGUCUCCUAAAGAAAGGCUUGAGUCAAAGGGCAAGACUGCCCUACUAGGCAGGGGACAUUCAGAUGCCAGCGCCUCCCUGACUAUGAAGGGACUGACAGAGAGGCUACUGAGUCUUCCUCAUGACAGCCAAUUGUCAGUUUUAUCCCCCAACUCCCAGCCCCAGGCCUCACAACUAGUGGGUCUGCAUUCCUCACACACAGUGGGUCUGCAUUCCUCACACACAGUGGGUCCAGUUCCUCCCACACAGUAGGUGCCUGUUGCCUGGCAAGCACCAGUGCCCAGUGGUUGCUGAAUGACUCUGUCGGAGCGCUCUGCCUUGCUCCCUGUCGGGGCCUGCGUCUGUCAUGUCUUUUCCAGUUGAGCUUGCAGGGAAGGUCAGCAGAUCCUCUCACAUCCCGCUGAGACAAGAAGUUCGGCGUGCAGGAGCAAGGCAGUCAGACUAGAAGGGCAGCUCGUUCUGUGAGAGGUAUUGUCGGGGUGAAGCUGCUCACAAAAGCCCUAAUAGUUGCUGGACUGACCGCCAAAAUUGAUGUGACUUCCAUCAUCACAGCAGGGAAGGCCCCUGCACACCUGUGUGGCCUCCGUUUGCAAUUCCUAGUUCCCAAAAACUACAUCUCCACUGCCCAGCGUCCUCUUCCUGGCUGCCAUGUGGAGGGAGAUGUGGAAGCUCACCGAGGUCUGGGACCUGCCCGUGCCAAGCCAAAGCCCACCGUCCUGGGCCAUUUUCACCUCUACAGAAUUUCAAACAUUAAAAAAUAUGUAUUGUGUGGUUUAGAUGUUUAAAUUCUUACUGUUCGUUCUGUGUCUUAGAUUUUGCUAUGAGGAACUGAAGUUUUAAUGGUGAUGUCAGAUGGAGAAUAUGUCUCCUUUUGCUUAAAGGUUUCACUCUUACAACCAUGGAAGAUUCUAUGCUCAGCUUCCGGCGAGACUAACAGUGACAGAGGAAUCACAAAUACAGCUCAGAAUGGUUUGUGCCGUGUUGUUUUCAUUCCUACCUUAUUUCUGUUGC
RNAcentral lists this long non-coding RNA (1527 nucleotides) under Homo sapiens (human). RNAcentral's name for it is "HSALNT0360631". Lineage: Eukaryota; Metazoa; Chordata; Mammalia; Primates; Hominidae. The record is from RNAcentral.